AGUUUAAAUACCUCAAUAACUUCAAGGUACCACAUCGAUUCUCGGUCAGGAAAUGGCGAAAGGUCAACAAUUUUGUGUAUCUUAACUAAAGGGAGGCUGCCUUUUUGGACAAAAUACAGUCCAACAACCAUAACAUACAUCCCUUUCACCCAAGAAAGUGUGAGGAAGUCGCCGAGAAGUUGGAGUUCAAUGACCCUGUGUAU
Molecule: unclassified non-coding RNA, 203 nt
Filed under: Hevea brasiliensis (rubber tree)
Lineage: Eukaryota; Viridiplantae; Streptophyta; Magnoliopsida; Malpighiales; Euphorbiaceae
Source: RNAcentral